This is a non-coding RNA of Hermanssonia centrifuga, 83 nucleotides long. The record is from the annotation of a GenBank genome assembly. Lineage: Eukaryota; Fungi; Basidiomycota; Agaricomycetes; Polyporales; Meruliaceae.
UCCCGUUUAGCUCAGUUGGUAGAGCGCGUCACUAGUAUUAUUAUGUAAUGACGAGGUCAGUCGUUCAAAUCGGCUAAUGGGAA